RNAcentral lists this unclassified non-coding RNA (323 nucleotides) under soil metagenome. RNAcentral's name for it is "partial contains 5.8S ribosomal RNA, internal transcribed spacer 2, and large subunit ribosomal RNA". The stretch from base 1 to 120 matches the Rfam family "5.8S ribosomal RNA", at positions 35 to 154 of the family's 154-position model. The record is from RNAcentral.
GAUGAAGAACGCAGCGAAAUGCGAUAAGUAAUGCGAAUUGCAGAAUUCAGUGAGUCAUCGAAUCUUUGAACGCACAUUGCGCCCUGUGGUAUUCCGCAGGGCAUGCCUAUUCGAGCGUCAUUUCAACCCUCAAGCUCUGCUUGGUGUUGGGCCCUGCCCGCUGCGGCCGGCCCUAAAGACAGUGGCGGUGCCGCCUGGCCCUGAGCGUAGUACAUCUCUCGCUCCAGUGCCCGGUGGUAGCCUGCCAGAACCCCAACUCUCGUGGUUGACCUCGGAUCAGGUAGGGAUACCCGCUGAACUUAAGCAUAUCAAUAAGCGGAGGA